GGGGUGCGAUUAUAAUGGGAGAAAGUUGAGCGCAGGGGGCUGGUUGCUGGGAGUUUGGCUGAGAAAAUUUGGAGAGGGACCUGGCUGCAGGCUGGGACUGAGGCAGAUGGAAAAGCCAGGAUGCCACCUACUGGUGGUGAUGACUACGAUGAGGAUGGUGAUGAGGAAGAUCUGACCGACACUCGGGGGUCCACAGCAGGAGAUGUGAUGUGGCUUGCUUUAUCUUAAGCUCCCAGAAGAGAGGUUUUUGCCACUUGGCUGAUAUGGUGAUGCUUUGUGAAUGUAAACUUCUGAACUCAGCUGGUGAAA
Caretta caretta (loggerhead turtle) is the source of this 309-nucleotide non-coding RNA. The record is from RefSeq and is a predicted model, not a curated record. Lineage: Eukaryota; Metazoa; Chordata; Testudines; Cheloniidae.